This 952-nucleotide ribosomal RNA is filed under the name Psychrobacter cibarius. Its description in RNAcentral is "bacterial SSU rRNA". It matches the Rfam family "Bacterial small subunit ribosomal RNA", at positions 38 to 978 of the family's 1533-position model. The record is from RNAcentral. Lineage: Bacteria; Pseudomonadati; Pseudomonadota; Gammaproteobacteria; Moraxellales; Moraxellaceae.
GGCCGGGGGGGCGCUACCAUGCAGUCGAGCGGUAACAGAUGGAGUAAGCUUGCUUUCUCGCUGUACGAGCGGCGGACGGGUGAGUAAUACUUAGGAAUCUACCUAGUAGUGGGGGAUAGCACGGGGAAACUCGUAUUAAUACCGCAUACGACCUACGGGAGAAAGGGGGCAGUUUACUGCUCUCGCUAUUAGAUGAGCCUAAGUCGGAUUAGCUAGAUGGUGGGGUAAAGGCCUACCAUGGCGACGAUCUGUAGCUGGUCUGAGAGGAUGAUCAGCCACACCGGGACUGAGACACGGCCCGGACUCCUACGGGAGGCAGCAGUGGGGAAUAUUGGACAAUGGGGGAAACCCUGAUCCAGCCAUGCCGCGUGUGUGAAGAAGGCCUUUUGGUUGUAAAGCACUUUAAGCAGUGAAGAAGACUCCAUGGUUAAUACCCAUGGACGAUGACAUUAGCUGCAGAAUAAGCACCGGCUAACUCUGUGCCAGCAGCCGCGGUAAUACAGAGGGUGCAAGCGUUAAUCGGAAUUACUGGGCGUAAAGGGAGCGUAGGUGGCUCUAUAAGUCAGAUGUGAAAUCCCCGGGCUUAACCUGGGAACUGCAUCUGAAACUGUAGAGCUAGAGUAUGUGAGAGGAAGGUAGAAUUCCAGGUGUAGCGGUGAAAUGCGUAGAGAUCUGGAGGAAUACCGAUGGCGAAGGCAGCCUUCUGGCAUAAUACUGACACUGAGGCUCGAAAGCGUGGGUAGCAAACAGGAUUAGAUACCCUGGUAGUCCACGCCGUAAACGAUGUCUACUAGUCGUUGGGUCCCUUGAGGACUUAGUGACGCAGCUAACGCAAUAAGUAGACCGCCUGGGGAGUACGGCCGCAAGGUAAAACUCAAAUGAAUUGACGGGGGCCCGCACAAGCGGUGGAACAUGUGGUUUAAUUCGAUGCAACGCGAAGAACCUUACCUGG